RNAcentral lists this ribosomal RNA (231 nucleotides) under Klebsiella aerogenes. Its description in RNAcentral is "partial 23S ribosomal RNA". It matches the Rfam family "Bacterial large subunit ribosomal RNA", at positions 1 to 232 of the family's 2925-position model. The record is from RNAcentral. Lineage: Bacteria; Pseudomonadati; Pseudomonadota; Gammaproteobacteria; Enterobacterales; Enterobacteriaceae. RNAcentral also lists the same sequence under 8 other names.
GGUUAAGCGACUAAGCGUACACGGUGGAUGCCCUGGCAGUCAGAGGCGAUGAAGGACGUGCUAAUCUGCGAAAAGCGUCGGUAAGGUGAUAUGAACCGUUACAGCCGGCGAUGUCCGAAUGGGGAAACCCAGUGCAAUUCGUUGCACUAUCGUUAACUGAAUACAUAGGUUAACGAGGCGAACCGGGGGAACUGAAACAUCUAAGUACCCCGAGGAAAAGAAAUCAACCGA